RNAcentral lists this transfer RNA (66 nucleotides) under Protobothrops kaulbacki. RNAcentral describes it as "tRNA-Ile". Lineage: Eukaryota; Metazoa; Chordata; Lepidosauria; Squamata; Viperidae. The record is from RNAcentral.
GGAAGCGUGCCUAAAACAUAGGACUACCCUAAUAGGGUAGAUAUGGGACCACGGACCCCGCCUCCC